UGUAAUAUUACACAACCUAAAAUCGAUUUCUAUUGAGGUAAAUUUAUAGUUUAAACACAAAAUUCUAUUUACAUGCUCCUAACCAAUCACUUGUAUUGCUACAAGCUUGAAAAAAAAGAAAAACAAAAACAAAAAAGACAAAUUAAGGAAAACAACUAACAAAAACAUAAAAAAUUUGAAAAAUUUCUAUGUUACCCCCACA
RNAcentral lists this long non-coding RNA (202 nucleotides) under Gossypium raimondii (Peruvian cotton). Its description in RNAcentral is "long non-coding RNA (GRAI_LNC000541)". The record is from RNAcentral. Lineage: Eukaryota; Viridiplantae; Streptophyta; Magnoliopsida; Malvales; Malvaceae.